GAAAAAAUAAUAAUAACUUGCAAACCCAAAGCAGCUUCCCCCAAUCCAUUCCUCUCCUCUCCUCGACUCUCAAACCCUAUAGAACCUCCCCCAAACAGGCGAAGUGGGAUUCAUGAAAUUAGAUGGAUUCAAUCAAUUCAUUCAAGGGGUAUGGUAAAGUUGACGAAGUGGAAGAACUAGCUUUCAGGCGAAAGAAACGAAGGCGUCUUAUCACCCUUAUCAUCCUCAUUCUCCUCCUUUUAACACUCAUCACUGCCGCCGUCGUUGGGAUUUUUUUACACAAGCGAAGCUCCUCCUCCCCCAACACUCUUCCCCCGCCUGUGUUGACUCCAGCCGCUUCACUCAAAGCUGUUUGUAGUGUGACUCAGUACCCGGCUUCCUGCUUCUCCAGCAUAUCUUCCAUUGCUCCCUCGAAUACAACCGUCCCAGAACUCCUCUUCAAGCUGUCUUUGAAAGUAGCCAUCGAUGAGCUCUCCAGUUUGUCUCACUAUCCCACCAAGCUCAAAGCUGAAACUAAUGAUAUCCGACUGAAAUCCGCUUUACAAGUAUGUGAAACUAUGUUCGACGACGCCUUGGAUCGAUUGAAUGAUUCAGCAACUUCCCUUGAAGUUGGAGAAGGAGAGAAGUUGUUGUCAGAUUCCAAGAUCAGUGACUUGAAGACUUGGCUAAGUACUGCUAUAACUGACCAGGAAACAUGUUUAGACUCCCUGGAGGAGUUAAACGCCACAAAGCACUUCAACGCCACAGUUGUUGAAGAAAUGAAAGCUGCCAUGCAAAACUCAACUGAAUAUGCCAGCAACAGUUUGGCUAUAGUUGCCAGAAUCUUAGGUUUAUUGACUGAUUUAAAUAUUCGUAUUCAUAGGAGGUUGCUUGGGUUUGAGAAAGCAGGUUCGGAGUUCCCGGCUUGGGUUAGUCCCACUGAAAGGAGACUAUUGCAGGAAUCCAAGCCUACCCCCAAUGUUAUUGUGGCUCAAGAUGGUUCCGGGAAUGUCUUGACCAUUAAUGAUGCGGUGAAAUUGGUAGGAAAAAAGAAUGAAUCAAGGUUCGUUAUAUAUGUGAAGGAAGGCAAGUAUGUUGAGAAUGUGAUUCUUGAUAAACACAUGUGGAAUGUGAUGAUUUACGGUGAUGGCAAAACAAAGACUUUAAUUUCCGGCAGCCACAACUUUGUUGAUGGAACUCCCACAUUUGCUACAGCUACUUUCGCUGUGGCAGGAAAAGGAUUCAUUGCAAAGGGCAUAGGGUUCAUUAACACAGCUGGUGCAGCAAAGCACCAAGCAGUGGCUAUGCGGUCUGGUUCUGAUCGCUCCGUAUUCUACCGCUGUGCAUUUGAUGCCUACCAGGACACUCUCUAUGCCCAUUCCAAUCGUCAGUUUUACCGGGAAUGUGACAUUUUGGGCACAAUUGACUUCAUUUUUGGGAAUGCAGCAGUUGUUUUCCAAAGUUGCAACAUCCUGCCAAGGCAACCUUUGGCUAACCAGUUCAAUACCAUCACAGCUCAAGGCAAAAAAGACCCUAACCAAAACACUGGCAUUUGCAUCCAGAAAUGCUCAAUAAGUGCAUUUGGCAACCUUACUGCUAAAACCUACCUUGGCAGGCCCUGGAAAGAAUUCUCCACUACUGUUAUCAUGCAGUCAAAGAUUGGGGCGUUCUUGGACCCAGUGGGCUGGAAAGGAUGGGUUGCCAAUGUUGACCCACCUAUCUCAAUCUUCUAUGCAGAAUAUCAGAACAGUGGACCUGGAUCAAACGUGGAUAAUAGGGUGAAAUGGGCUGGUUACAGGUCCACUCUCUCAGACGUUGAUGCUGGGAAGUUCACGGUGGAAACGUUUAUACAAGGCCACGAUUGGCUUCCUAAUGCCACUGUCUCCUAUGAACCUGCUUUAUAAUCCGAUAGCUGAACCCAACUUAGAUAUUUCACUUAUUCCAUAUCAAAGCUACAAUGUCAGAUAACAGCUGAGUAUAUAAUAUUUGGACGCCAUAGUAUAAAUUCCAAAGAAUGAAUCAGGCAGAAGCUAAGAUGUUAGACAUGUGCAGAGUCAAAUAAUUUACUACUUUGGGGAAAGGUUCCUCGUCUAUUGACUAUGAUACAAUAAGGGAAGAGAAUAAGGCAGAGCAAGGAGGAGGUCGAGGUAGGGUAAUGGAAGCCAGUUCACCUGAAGAGGUCGAGAGUUAGGACGAGGAGAGACUGAUCUUGAAGACAAGUGCUCAGAGUAAUUUUAAAGUGCCAAAAUGUCAAUCCCCUAUUAAUUAUUUUCUAGGGUAUUUAUAGGAGAGAUCUACUUAUAUGUUGUGUUGGGAUAUAUAUUUAGCCUGUUAAAUGCGUAAUGGAUAAUCAUUGGCACAUGUCAUGAGACUAUAUCAAUAUGAAGAUGUUAAGCCUAA
Gossypium raimondii (Peruvian cotton) is the source of this 2379-nucleotide RNA transcript. It is a transcript of the gene named pectinesterase 3, with no coding region annotated. NCBI's taxonomy places the organism in Eukaryota, Viridiplantae, Streptophyta, Magnoliopsida, Malvales, Malvaceae. The transcript is spliced from 5 exons. The record is from RefSeq and is a predicted model, not a curated record.